RNAcentral lists this unclassified non-coding RNA (2244 nucleotides) under uncultured fungus. RNAcentral's name for it is "sequence contains 18S rRNA gene, ITS1, 5.8S rRNA gene, ITS2, 28S rRNA gene". The stretch from base 1077 to 2244 matches the Rfam family "Eukaryotic large subunit ribosomal RNA", at positions 1 to 961 of the family's 3401-position model. The record is from RNAcentral. Lineage: Eukaryota; Fungi.
GGAAGGAUCAUUAAACUACGUCCCAUUUCAACCAAACCGUGAACUUAUUUUGUCGUGCGAGAGGCAAGCCGUUAAGGCUGAGAAUAACCAUGACAGUAGGGGAGCGUACCGAUGCAGACCGCGACCGCACAGCUAGUGUUGCGUGUGCGGCGUGGUUUGCGCGCUCUCUGGUUGCUCAGUCGAUGGUGGGGUUGUUUCAACCCUGCGGGUUUGUGCUCGUGCGGUUAUUUUUAACCUAUUGUCUUAUUAACCCUAUUAACUAGUGCUUUGUACCUAUUGUACGUGCUGUUGUCGAUGUCUUUAUGGCAUCCAACAAUUAAAUCUGUACAACUCUUAGCAAUGGAUAUCUCGGCUCUCAUAUCGAUGAAGAACGCAGCGAACUGCGAUACGUAGUGCGAAUUGCAGAAUUCAGUGAAUCAUCGAAUCUUUGAACGCAACUGGCGCUUUCGGGAUAGGCCCGAAAGCAUGCUUCUUUCAGUGUCGUUUCUCCAACCCUCUCGACUGCGUUUCGGCGUAUGUCGAGGACUAUGAGUGUCUUGCUUGCUUUUGCGAGCCAAGUCGCUUGAAAUAAUGCAAGCUGGUUGGAACCAAACGAACUGCUCUUGAUUGCAGUGUGACGCGUACCGAAUUGCCUUUUCUCGGGAGAGCGGCCUUUUGGGCUUACUCGAACUUGGAGGCGUGGCGGCGUGUCUUGUGUGCUUUGCACGUAAAGAGAAUUGGUUCCGUCCGUAUGUCCCUAGUAGUUGCCAACUACUCAACAUACGAGCGCUGUGGUAUGGUCUCACCUUUGCGUGGACUUUUUGCCGGCGAGCGUAUGGAGUAGGGUAGUGAGGGGGAAAAUGGGCGGGUCACAAAGUGCAGAGUGCGUGAGGCUCGUUUAGCAACACGUUUCUAUAAUAGUUGGGUCUGUCAACAAUUGUGCUGUUUUUCAAUGUGUGAUGACGGUGUGCGUUUGCAAUGUAAUCGUUUAUGGGAGCGGUUUGAUUGGUUUCAUACUGGUGACAAUCGCCAGGCGUGUGGGGACGUUGAGCUUCCGGGCUUGCGUUUCGUGACGCUUAGCAACUUUUUUUCGGACUUGACCUGAAAUGAAGUAGGAUUACCCGCCGAAUUUAAGCAUAUUAUUAAGCGGAGGAGAAGAAACUAACCAGGAUUCCCCUAGUAACGGCGAGUGAAGCGGGAAGAGCUCAACCCUAAAAUCUGUGCGUCUAGCGGCGCACCGAGUUGUGGGCUUGCGACGUCUACUCAGCGUGUGACCCGGGUAUAGAUCCUUUGAAACAGGGUAUCAUAGAGGGUGAGAAUCCCGUCUGUGACCUGGAGUUCGCCGCGUACGAGUGACGUUCAUCGAGUCGAAUAGCUUGGGAAUGCUGUUCUAAUUAGGUGGUAAAUUUCAUCUAAAGCUAAAUACUGAUGAGAGACCGAUAGCGAACAAGUACCGCGAGGGAAAGAUGAAAAGAACUUUGAAAAGAGAGUUAAAAAGUGCUUGAAAUUGCUAAGAGGGAAGCAAUGGACACCAGUGUCUGCGUCAUGCCUACGUAGGCUGUUUGUUUGCAGCUGCGCUCUGUUUGUGGCGACCGCAAGGCGUCAUGGAUGUGUGCGGUUGUGAAUGGGCGGUACCGGUGGGUGUGAUGUGCGUCAAGAUCAAUUAUGACUGCAGGGGAAAUCUAGUGGCAAGGUGGCCAGUGAACGGUUUCGGCCGGGCGCUGGAGCUUACAGGCCAUUAGAAUAUACUGUGGUUCCGAUUGAGGGGUGACACCAUCUUUAAAGUUGCGCCCGCAAGGGUUGGCGUGUCCGUUCUUCUGUGCGUUGUUAUGUGGUAGGUAGAACAAAGUUCUGCCUGCUCAUAGCAGCGUAUAGUGAGGGUGGGUGCAUGACUUGCAACUUCGAGAUCUUGGCGAAAUGGUUUUCAUUGACCCGUCUUGAAACACGGACCAAGGAGUCUAACAUAUAUGCGAGUAUUUGGGUGUAAAACCCUGAUGCGGAAUGAAAGUGAAGGCAGUCCUCGUGACAGCCGAGAUAGGAAUCGUCGCAGUAGCGGCGAGGCACUAUCGACCGAUCGAUCAUUUAUGAGAGAUUUGAGUUAGAGCAUAUCUGUUGGGACCCGAAAGAUGGUGAACUAUGCCUGAGCAGGGCGAGGCCGGGGGAAACUCUGGUGGAGGCUCGUAGCGAUACUGACGUGCAAAUCGUUCGUCGGACUUGGGUAUAGGGGCGAAAGACUAAUCGAACCAUUUAGUAGCUGGUUCCCUC